This 169-nucleotide unclassified non-coding RNA is filed under the name uncultured Sebacina. RNAcentral's name for it is "sequence contains ITS1". Lineage: Eukaryota; Fungi; Basidiomycota; Agaricomycetes; Sebacinales; Sebacinaceae. The record is from RNAcentral.
UUGAUUGCGAAUCGUUGCCUUCUGUGCUGGCCAGCUCUCUGGCAAGUGCACGUCGGUGGCUUUCAUCCAAUACCCUGUGCACCUUUGGCCUUUGCUAGCUUCGGCCGGCAGAGGAAUUUACACACACUCGAAUGUAAUGAAAUUAUUGUCGUGCGCAAGCACUAAUGUA